Oncorhynchus keta (chum salmon) is the source of this 2741-nucleotide long non-coding RNA. RefSeq lists it as uncharacterized. The record is from RefSeq and is a predicted model, not a curated record. The transcript is spliced from 3 exons. NCBI's taxonomy places the organism in Eukaryota, Metazoa, Chordata, Actinopteri, Salmoniformes, Salmonidae.
AAAUAUGGUGGUGAGAGGAAGCCCCGUGGCUGGCAGUGGGAGGAGAUGGUACUACCAAAUAUGGUGGUGAGAGGAAGCCCCGUGGCUGGCAGUGGGAGGAGAUGGUACUACCAAAUAUGGUGGUGAGAGGAAGCCCCGUGGCUGGCAGUGGGAGGAGAUGGUACUACCAAAUAUGGUGUUGAGAGGAAGCCCCGUGGCUGGCAGUGGGAGAAGGUAAACUGACAUUCUGACAAUUUUCUCAUUGAUGAAACAUUUCAUCUCAAUACAGUAUUCUGUUCCCCAAACUAGAAAUUGUUAGGAACAGACUGGACUAAGUUUUGUGGACUUUACCCUUUGCCAAAGUUUUUUUUUUAAUUCCGUUGUUUAGGAGUCAAAGGCACAUUUUUGUUGCUGCACACGCACACUUCAGAGUAGGCGUUCCCUAAUGGAUAUAUGCAAAUGCACGCUAGAACGCGCCAAUAGGAUCUCGCUAGCUCGUGCUUGGCUCUGCCCAGGUUGCUUGUUCAGCCCAAUAUGACUCAUUUGUUCCCAUUGGACACGACAGUCUGUAGUCUAUCUUGGGUUAGUUAUAAAACACUCUUUGGUGAUAGGGUCUGUUCUUCUUUUGUCUGACUGGGUCUGUCUGUACGUAGCGAUGCUAGCAAGCCCAAGUAGGUAACAGUGAUGUGUGUGUCUGUACGUAGCGAUGCUAGCAAGCCCAAGUAGGUAACAGUGAUGUGUGUCUGUACGUAGCGAUGCUAGCAAGCCCAAGUAGGUAACAGUGAUGUGUGUCUGUACGUAGCGAUGCUAGCAAGCCCAAGUAGGUGACAGUGAUGUGUGUCUGUACGUAGCGAUGCUAGCAAGCCCAAGUAGGUAACAGUGAUGUGUGUCUGUACGUAGCGAUGCUAGCAAGCCCAAGUAGGUAACAGUGAUGUGUGUCUGUACGUAGCGAUGCUAGCAUGCCCAAGUAGGUAACAGUGAUGUGUGUCUGUACGUAGCGAUGCUAGCAAGCCCAAGUAGGUAACAGUGAUGUGUGUCUGUACGUAGCGAUGCUAGCAAGCCCAAGUAGGUAACAGUGAUGUGUGUCUGUACGUAGCGAUGCUAGCAAGCCCAAGUAGGUAACAGUGAUGUCUGUCUGUACGUAGCGAUGCUCUGAAGCUACUGUAUAGGUUAGGGUCUCUGUUUCUACUGUAUGGAUUAGGGUCUCUGUCUCUACUCUAUGGGUUAGGGUCUCUGUCUCUACUGUAUGGGUUAGGGUCUCUGUUUCUACUGUAUGGGUUAGGGUCUCUGUUUCUACUGUAUGGGUUAGGGUCUCUGUCUCUACUGUAUGGGUUAGGGUCUCUGUUUCUACUGUAUAGGUUAGGGUCUCUGUUUCUACUGUAUGGAUUAGGGUCUCUGUCUCUACUCUAUGGGUUAGGGUCUCUGUCUCUACUGUAUGGGUUAGGGUCUCUGUUUCUACUGUAUGGGUUAGGGUCUCUGUUUCUACUGUAUGGGUUAGGGUCUCUGUUUCUACUGUAUGGGUUAGGGUCUCUGUUUCUACUGUAUGGGUUAGGGUCUCUGUUUCUACUGUAUGGGUUAGGGUCUCUGUCUCUACUGUAUGGGUUAGGGUCUCUGUCUCUACUGUAUGGGUUAGGGUCUCUGUCUCUACUGUAUGGGUUAGGGUCUCUGUUUCUACUGUAUGGGUUAGGGUCUCUGUUUCUACUGUAUGGGUUAGGGUCUCUGUCUCUACUGUAUGGGUUAGGGUCUCUGUUUCUACUGUAUGGGUUAGGGUCUCUGUCUCUACUGUAUGGGUUAGGGUCUCUGUUUCUACUGUAUGGGUUAGGGUCUCUGCCUCUACUGUAUGGGUUAGGGUCUCUGUUUCUACUGUAUGGGUUAGGGUCUCUGUCUCUACUGUAUGGGUUAGGGUCUCUGUCUCUACUGUAUGGGUUAGGGUCUCUGUCUACUGUAUAGGUUAGGGUCUCUGUCUCUACUCUAUGGGUUAGGGUCUCUGUCUACUGUAUGGGUUAGGGUCUCUGUCUCUACUCUAUGGGUUAGGGUCUCUGUCUACUGUAUAGGUUAGGGUCUCUGUCUCUACUGUAUGGGUUAGGGUCUCUGUUUCUACUGUAUGGGUUAGGGUCUCUGUCUCUACUGUAUGGGUUAGGGUCUCUGUCUCUACUGUAUGGGUUAGGGUCUCUGUCUACUGUAUAGGUUAGGGUCUCUGUCUCUACUCUAUGGGUUAGGGUCUCUGUCUACUGUAUGGGUUAGGGUCUCUGUCUCUACUCUAUGGGUUAGGGUCUCUGUCUACUGUAUAGGUUAGGGUCUCUGUCUCUACUGUAUGGGUUAGGGUCUCUCUAAAGCUACUGUAUAGGUUAGGGUCUCUGUCUCUACUCUAUGGGUUAGGGUCUCUGUCUCUACUCUAUGGGUUAGGGUCUCUGUUUCUACUGUAUGGGUUAGGGUCUCUGUUUCUACUGUAUGGGUUAGGGUCUCUGUUUCUACUGUAUGGGUUAGGGUCUCUGUUUCUACUGUAUGGGUUAGGGUCUCUGUUUCUACUGUAUGGGUUAGGGUCUCUGUUUCUACUGUAUGGGUUAGGGUCUCUGUUUCUACUGUAUGGGUUAGGGUCUCGGUCUCUACUGUAUGGGUUAGGGUCUCUGUCUCUACUGUAUCGGUUAGUCUCUGAAUCUACUCUAUGGGUUAGGGUCUCUGCCUCUACUGUAUGGGUUAGGGUCUCUGUCUCUACUGUAUGGGUUAGGGUCUCUGUCUCUACUGUAUGGGUUAGGGUCUCA